This 185-nucleotide non-coding RNA is filed under the name Oceanobacillus piezotolerans. Its description in RNAcentral is "6S / SsrS RNA". It matches the Rfam family "6S / SsrS RNA". From Rfam's summary of the family: E. coli 6S RNA was the first non coding RNA to be sequenced, but its function was unknown until recently. It consists of 184 nucleotides that fold into an extended hairpin structure with a large single-stranded internal bulge. Lineage: Bacteria; Bacillati; Bacillota; Bacilli; Caryophanales; Bacillaceae. The record is from Rfam by way of RNAcentral.
UACAGGCUGCAUUGUGCGUAUUUAAUUUAAGUUUUAACCUCUAAUGAAAUAAUAGGGAGUUUUACAUUGAAAUCAUAAUGUCGGGCCGCCAAGAGCGGAAGACAGGAAGGUUUCUGCGAACACCCACUUGGUGAAGUGGUGGUUUAAAACUUUUUAUUAUAUAAAUACGGCAUUGUGGCUCGUAU